GAUGUUCUGGCUUUUUGACACAUACAAAGGUUUGAGGAGUACUCACUGCCACCUUCGAGUGCACUGGAAAACUAAUUUCCAUAAUGGGAAAAGAAAUGGAUGCGACCACACUUGCUGUGCAUGGACUAUUAUCGAGAUAAUAUCGAUCUUCAGAAUGACCAUUGUACAGAACAUGCAAUGUCUGACAAAGAAAAUUACGUUGCACCGUCUUCACAAGAGUCAGUACUAUGGUGUAUGGCACUGCAUUUCCAGAUUUGUCAUCUCAAUUAUUUUUCAAAUCUGCAGUUGAAUUGGAAAGAUGCAGCUGGGUCAAAGCUUUUACUUCCUCCUUCAAACAACGUUAAAGCUUUAAACAAAAUACAAGAAAAAGGGCUGGUAAAACUCAACGGGUCAGUCAGAAUCCAUGGAAAGAAACAGUGAUCAUUUGACCUGGAAGGUUAACUCUAAUUCAAACGCAAUCUGCUGCAACUGAUGUUGUUUUCUUCCCAACAUUGUUUUAAUUAUAUCUUUCAGAUUUCCAGCAUUGGCAGUGUUUUGUUUUAAUAGAAAGACUUUGUUUAUUUUCCUCAUUUGUGACUUCUUACAUUAUGCAGAAUCUUCUCAGUCCCUGAAUAAGACCUGCUGGAAAUGGAGACACAAUGGGAGAAGACAAUGUAGCAGUUUUUCUUGCAUUCGGAUGAUUGGAAAGGAACCAUUGCAGUAGACAACAGUUACUUCAGCCCUAACAAGAGCAACAGCUGCCAUUGGUUGUUGCAAGGCACCUAGAGGGAGAAGAUUGACCCUGGAGGAGAAGAGUUUUGGCUCAGAACUGAAUCUACAGACUUGGGAGCAGCUAUCUGCAAAUGACUGAGAGCCAGUGGAGAAGAAGACUAAGGAUGCCCCGAGGCAUCAUGUCACACCAUACCAGCUGCUGGAAGAGGUCCUGUGCAAAUAAGGACUGGAUGGCAAUCUCAUCUUGGUAGCCCUAAAGGUUUACACUGGUUUGAAAAAUUCUUAAGAGGUGUAGAAAGCCAGAUAUAAGUGGGGGUGUCCUCUUGUUGCCCAGCAAUCAUCCUCAUAAGGGCUAAGGGCCUUUGAAAGAGGGUGGCACUUGUGGGUGGUCCAGGUUGUAUGGGCAAUAGUAACUUCCUUCAUACUCAGAGGAGACCUGCAAGAUCUGACUGCUUUGGUCACAAACUAUUUGAGCACUAACCAGGUGGGAUCGGUUUCUGUUCAUAAAGAUUGCUGGUUCAUGAUAGGGCACACUGUGCUACUGAUUGCAAACUGCACUUCUGGGAAGCUGUUUAAUGUUUCUGGAAAUGUGUAAUUUCUGUAAUCAACUGGGGACCUCUCUAAAAUUUUACAGUCCUCUGCUUAUAAGUGCAUCCAGGAUGUCAAUGAGGCCGUAUUCAUGACACCCUACCUCAUCGUCUUAAUCCCCCUUGACACAGCUAGUCAAUCAGAGAGGGCAUUAGAAUUCUCAGGCAUCACCAGCUUCCUACAAGUGCAAGAUACAAAUACUUAUAUACUCUUGACCCAGCCAGCAUGGUCAAACCUUCAGUUUUCAGCAGUACCUCAUUUCCUUCAACAGGUGUCACUGAAGUUCCACUUCUUACUGACAUUGCUUAACCAAUGUUAAAGGUUAGACAGGAAACGCCACUCAUUUCAGAAGAUUAACAUUUCUCUGUAAUGUUUGCUGUGACAGACAAUUUUACAGUAGAGAUUAACCAGGGAAUGUGUCUCCUAGUUUCAGUUACAGCAGAAAUGUUUACAUGCCUAUUGUAUGCUGAACUGCCCUAUUAGCUGAUUGCAAUCUGCUGUGUACCUGACAGUGAUUAAAUUUUAGGUUUCAAGUAAUUGAUUUAUUCAUUCAUUCUGAAAUGUGCAGCUUCUCUCAGUAGGAUACAUUUUCAUGUCUUACACACUUUGCAGGGAAACGUACGUUCUCUAUUCCUGACAUUAUAUCAGUUUACUUGUGUGUAAAAUUUGAAAAUGUAUUAAGUUUAAUGUUUCAUUUGCAGCUCAUACCUAAAUUGCCCGUGCAUUCUUCACUGCACGUGUGCAUUUGGUCACUGGCUUUACUUCACUGGGCCUAAUUGAUAGAAUGUGUCAAGUGCAUUCAGGUGUUAAGUAGGAACAUUUCUGCAAGCAGUAUUUCACAAUUACAUGCUUAAAUGUUUGGGCUGGAUAAUUAUUUAAUUGGUUUAGUAUAUUGAACCAAGGUUAUUCAAGAGAUUUUUAAAUAUAUUGAAUUUGGCCUAAGAUCUGAUUUCAUUGAAGUGAUAUCAAGCUGGAAACAAUAAUCUUAAAUAUGCAAAUAUGCCUUUUGAUUAUUAUUAACCAAAAAUUAAAUGGAAUGCAUUGAAAAUAUAUAAAAGUAAGCAAAAUGAGUUUUGCUAAAGGCUAAACUAUUGCAAAACGCUACUUGCCUUGUUAAUCAAGUGACCAAUUGUUUCAUAUUUUGUUGUCAGUUGUAACA
Rhincodon typus (whale shark) is the source of this 2458-nucleotide long non-coding RNA. RefSeq lists it as uncharacterized. The transcript is spliced from 4 exons. The record is from RefSeq and is a predicted model, not a curated record. Lineage: Eukaryota; Metazoa; Chordata; Chondrichthyes; Orectolobiformes; Rhincodontidae.